AAUUCCCGUUGAUCCUGCGGGAGGUCGCUGCUAUCGGGAUUCGAAUUAGACAUGCAAGUCAAAAUCUCUUAGGAGGUUGGCGAAAGGCUCAGUAACACGUCGAUAAUCUGCCCUAUGGUCUGGAAUAACCUCGGGAAACUGAGGGUAAUACCGGAUAGAAGAUUGAUACUGGAAGGUUCUUUCUUUGAAAGAUUACGCCAUAGGAUGAGUCGGCGGCUGAUUAGGCUGUUGGUGAGGUAACGGCUCACCAAACCGAUGAUCAGUAGGGGGUAUGAGAGUACUGUCCUCGAGAAGGGCACUGAGACAAGGGCCCUAGCCCUAAGGGGUGCAGCAGUCACGAAAACUUUACAAUGCGCGAAAGCGCGAUAGGGGAAUCCCGAGUGCUUACUUUAUAGUAGGCUUUUGUCAAGUGUAAGGAGCUUGACGAAUAAGUGGUGGGUAAUACUGGUGCCAGCCGCCGCGGUAACACCAGAGCCACAAGUGGGGACCAUUUUUAUUGGGUCUAAAGCGUCCGUAGUCGGUUCAUUAGGUCUUUUGUGAAAUUGUUGAGCUUAACUCAGCAGCGUGCAAAAGAAACCAGUGAACUUGGGACCGGGAGACGAUAAGAGUAUGCCGAGGGGAGCGGUAAAAUGUUUUAAUCCUCGGUGGACUACCGAUAGCGAAGGCACUUAUCGAGAACGGGUCCGACGAUCAGGGACGAAGGCCAGGGGAGCAAAACGGAUUAGAUACCCGUGUAGUCCUGGCAGUAAACGCUGUCCAUUAUAUGUUGCGCAUCCUACAAGGGUGUGCAGUGUCGUAGCGAAGGCGUUAAAUGGACCACCUGGGUAGUACGGUCGCAAGACUGAAACUUUAAGGAAUUGGCGGGGGAGCACUACAAUCGGUGACGCGUGCGGUUUAAUUUAACUACACACAGAAAAUCUCACCAGGGGCGACGGCAGGAUGAAGGUCAGAUUAAAGGUCUUACCUGACGAGCCGAGAGAUGUUGCAUGGCCGCCGUCAGCUCGUGCCGCAAGGUGUCCGGUUAAGUCCGGCAACGAGCAAGACCUGUACCUUUAUUUGCUAACAAGUCCUCCGGGAUGAUUGAGUACAAUAACGGGACUGCCUUGGUAACAAGGAGGAAGGUGCAGGCAACGGUAGGUCUGUAUGACUCGAAUCUCCUGGGCUACACGCGCGCGGCAAUGGCUAGUACAAUGGGAUGCAACACCGAGAGGUGAAGCUAAUCCUCGAAAGCUAGUCUUAGUUCAGAUUGAGGGUUGUAACUCACCCUCAUGACGCUGGAAUCGAUAGUAAUCGCUUGUCAUUAGCGAGCGGUGAAUACGUCCCUGUUCCUUGCACACACUGCCCGUCAAAUCAACCGAGCAGGGCCUGAGUGAGGGUUGCAUUACGGUGCGAUUCGAACUUAGGUUCAGUGAGGUGGGUUAAGUCGUCACAAGGUAUCCGUAGGGGAACCUGCGGAUGGAUCACCUCCUA
Molecule: ribosomal RNA, 1470 nt
Filed under: Candidatus Woesearchaeota archaeon
Lineage: Archaea; Nanobdellati; Candidatus Woesearchaeota
Description: bacterial SSU rRNA
Rfam family: Archaeal small subunit ribosomal RNA
Source: RNAcentral